Rattus norvegicus (Norway rat) is the source of this 63-nucleotide non-coding RNA. The record is from Rfam. Lineage: Eukaryota; Metazoa; Chordata; Mammalia; Rodentia; Muridae.
GGGGAUUUAGCUCAGUGGUAGAGUGCUUGCCUAGCAAGCACAAGGUCCUGGGUUCAGUCCCCA